Molecule: ribosomal RNA, 251 nt
Filed under: uncultured prokaryote
Description: partial 16S rRNA
Rfam family: Bacterial small subunit ribosomal RNA
Source: RNAcentral
ACGUAGGUGACGAGCGUUGUUCGGAAUUAUUGGGCGUAAAGGGUUCGUAGGAGGUUUAUUAAGAUUGGUGUGAAAUCCCAAGGCUCAACCUUGGAACUGCAUUGAUUACUGAUGAACUAGAGUGUCGUAGAGGAAAGCGGAAUUCCAGGUGUAGCGGUGGAAUGCGAAGAUAUCAGGAAGAACACCGAAAGCGAAGGAAGAAAACAGGGAGAAAACAGACGCAGAGGAACGAAAGAAAGGGGAGAAAAAAG